GAAGAUUGCUGUUUCCCUCACAGAGCUACAAUUCCCCAUGUCCCUCAGAAGAGGGACGGAUUGUUAAACCGCUGUGGGAAUUGUGGCUCUUUGAGGGAAACAGGAGAGUU
Molecule: non-coding RNA, 110 nt
Organism: Podarcis lilfordi (Lilford's wall lizard)
Lineage: Eukaryota; Metazoa; Chordata; Lepidosauria; Squamata; Lacertidae
Source: the annotation of a GenBank genome assembly